UGAGGAAUAUUGGUCAAUGGGCGGAAGCCUGAACCAGCCAAGUAGCGUGAGGGAUGACUGCCCUAUGGGUUGUAAACCUCUUUUAUAAGGGAAUAAAAUACGGGACGUGUCCUGUUUUGCAUGUACCUUAUGAAUAAGGACCGGCUAAUUCCGUGCCAGCAGCCGCGGUAAUACGGAAGGUCCGGGCGUUAUCCGGAUUUAUUGGGUUUAAAGGGAGCGCAGGCGGUCUUAUAAGCGUGACGUGAAAUGCAGCGGCUCAACCGUAUGAUGUGCGUCGCGAACUGUGAGACUUGAGUACGGGAGAGGAUCGUGGAAUU
This 317-nucleotide ribosomal RNA is filed under the name uncultured Prevotella sp. Its description in RNAcentral is "bacterial SSU rRNA". It matches the Rfam family "Bacterial small subunit ribosomal RNA", at positions 355 to 668 of the family's 1533-position model. The record is from RNAcentral. Lineage: Bacteria; Pseudomonadati; Bacteroidota; Bacteroidia; Bacteroidales; Prevotellaceae.